Molecule: ribosomal RNA, 18 nt
Filed under: Aspergillus aculeatus
Lineage: Eukaryota; Fungi; Ascomycota; Eurotiomycetes; Eurotiales; Aspergillaceae
Description: partial 28S ribosomal RNA
Source: RNAcentral
UCAGGUAGGGAUACCCGC